GAUGAACGCUAGCGACAGGCUUAACACAUGCAAGUCGAGGGGCAGCACAGGUAGCAAUACCGGGUGGCGACCGGCGCACGGGUGAGUAACGCGUAUGCAACUUACCUAUCAGAGGGGGAUAACCCGGCGAAAGUCGGACUAAUACCGCAUGAAGCAGGGGUCCCGCAUGGGGAUAUUUGCUAAAGAUUCAUCGCUGAUAGAUAGGCAUGCGUUCCAUUAGGCAGUUGGCGGGGUAACGGCCCACCAAACCGACGAUGGAUAGGGGUUCUGAGAGGAAGGUCCCCCACAUUGGUACUGAGACACGGACCAAACUCCUACGGGAGGCAGCAGUGAGGAAUAGUGGUCAAUGGCCGAGAGGCUGAACCAGCCAAGUCGCGUGAGGGAUGAAGGUUCUAUGGAUCGUAAACCUCUUUUAGAAGGGAAUAAAGUGCGGGGCGUGUCCCGUUUUGUAUGUACCUUAUGAAUAAGGAUCGGCUAACUCCGUG
RNAcentral lists this ribosomal RNA (485 nucleotides) under uncultured bacterium. RNAcentral's name for it is "partial 16S ribosomal RNA". It matches the Rfam family "Bacterial small subunit ribosomal RNA", at positions 28 to 507 of the family's 1533-position model. The record is from RNAcentral.